RNAcentral lists this ribosomal RNA (139 nucleotides) under uncultured bacterium. Its description in RNAcentral is "partial 16S ribosomal RNA". It matches the Rfam family "Bacterial small subunit ribosomal RNA", at positions 355 to 509 of the family's 1533-position model. The record is from RNAcentral.
UGGGGAAUAUUGCACAAUGGGCGAAAGCCUGAUGCAGCAACGCCGCGUGAAGGAAGAAGGCCUUCGGUCGUAAACUUCUGUCCUUGGGGAAGAAGAAACUGACGGUACCCAAGGAGGAAGCCCCGGCUAACUACGUGCC